RNAcentral lists this ribosomal RNA (388 nucleotides) under uncultured bacterium. RNAcentral's name for it is "bacterial SSU rRNA". It matches the Rfam family "Bacterial small subunit ribosomal RNA", at positions 29 to 416 of the family's 1533-position model. The record is from RNAcentral.
ACGAACGCUAGCGGCAUGCCUCAAACAUGCAAGUCGAACGCGAAAGUAUCUUCGGAUACGAGUAGAGUGGCGCACGGGUGCGUAACACGUAACUAAUGUCCCUCUUCGCUGGGGAUAACUCCGGGAAACCGGAGCUAAUACCGAAUGAGCUGUCGAGAUCUGCGGAUCUUGCCAGCAAAGCCGUAAGGCGCGAAGUGAUCAGGUUGCGGCCCAUUAGCUUGNGGUGAGGUAAUGGCUCACCAAGGCUACGAUGGGUAGCUGGUCUGAGAGGAUGACCAGCCACACUGGAACUGGAACACGGUCCAGACUCCCACGGGAGGCAGCAGUUGGGAAUAUUGGACAAUGGGGGAAACCCUGAUCCAGCAAUGCCGCGUGAGUGAUGAAGGCC